GAUGAACGCUGGCGGCGUGCCUAAUACAUGCAAGUCGAGCGAACAGACGAGGAGCUUGCUCCUCUGACGUUAGCGGCGGACGGGUGAGUAACACGUGGAUAACCUACCUAUAAGACUGGGAUAACUUCGGGAAACCGGAGCUAAUACCGGAUAAUAUAUUGAACCGCAUGGUUCAAUAGUGAAAGACGGUUUUGCUGUCACUUAUAGAUGGAUCCGCGCCGCAUUAGCUAGUUGGUAAGGUAACGGCUUACCAAGGCAACGAUGCGUAGCCGACCUGAGAGGGUGAUCGGCCACACUGGAGGUGAGCCACGGUCCAGACUCCUACGGGAGGCAGCAGUAGGGAAUCGGCCGCAAUGGGCGAGAGCCUGACGGAGCAGCGCCGAGUGAGUGAUGAAGGUCUUCGGAUCGUGAAGCUCUGUUAUUGGGGAAGAACAAAUGUGUAAGUAACUAUGCACUUCUUGACGGUACCUAAUCAGAAAGCCACGGCUAACUACGUG
Molecule: ribosomal RNA, 497 nt
Filed under: uncultured bacterium
Lineage: Bacteria
Description: partial 16S ribosomal RNA
Rfam family: Bacterial small subunit ribosomal RNA
Source: RNAcentral